This 194-nucleotide ribosomal RNA is filed under the name uncultured bacterium. RNAcentral's name for it is "partial 16S ribosomal RNA". It matches the Rfam family "Bacterial small subunit ribosomal RNA", at positions 338 to 524 of the family's 1533-position model. The record is from RNAcentral.
CCUACGGGAGGCAGCAGUGGGGAAUAUUGCACAAUGGGCGCAAGCCUGAUGCAGCCAUGCCGCGUGUAUGAAGAAGGCCUUCGGGUUGUAAAGUACUUUCGGCGGGGAGGAAGGCGAUGUGGUUAAUAGCCGCAUCGAUUGACGUUACCCGCAGAAGAAGCACCGGCUAACUCCGUGCCAGCAGCCGCGGUAAU